CGGCCCCUCCCGGAAGUGCGGCGGUUGCUAGGCGGCUGUUGCUAGGCUACGGCGGCGGCUGUAACCAGGCCGGGUCGAUGGCGAACGUGGAGCCAGGGGAGCUGGUCGGCACCUUCCCCAGCCUUAUGGCCGAGGGCGCGCUGCUCAGCCGGCGCGGGCAGCACAGCAAGGCGCUGCUCUGCUUCACUAACGCUCUGCAGCUUCAAAAAGGGGAUAAGCACUGUCUGGUUGCUCGCUCAAAAUGUUACCUGAAGCUUGGGGACACAGAAAAUUCCCUGAAAGAUGCAGAAGCCUCUCUUCAAAAUGACAAAACAUUUUCUAAGGGACUGUACCAAAAAGCUGAGACCCUCUACACCAUGGGUGACUUCGAAUUUGCUUUAGUGUUUUAUCACCGUGGCCAUAAACUACGUCCAGAACUACAGAAAUUCAGAUUAGGGAUCCAAAAAGCUCAGGAAGCGAUUGACAACUGUGUUGGAAGUCCUUCCUCAGUUAAACUGGAGAAUAAAGGGGACCUCUGCUUUUUAAGCAGGCAGGCAGAGAGCAAGAAAAUGAAACAAAAACUUCCAGUCAACCUUGCAAGAAAGGAUCAAAAACGGCUGAAUAAACAGGAGCCCAUUAGGAACACAAAGGCUGAACGGCAGCUCCUUGGAGAGCUGUAUGCCGACAAGGCCUAUCUAGAGAAGCUGCUCAAAGAUGAAGACUUGAUCAGAAGCAACACAAAGCAGGGGAUGACAGUGGAGGAUCUAAUUUUGGGAGGCAUUAAGUACCUGGACACCCGGACUGAGUUCUGGCAGCAGCAGAAGCCCAUCUAUGCCCGGGUGAGAGACCGCAAGCUCAGGCAGCAGAGGUGGAUCCGAGACAAAAAGCGCAAACCAUCUGAGGUUGCCAGACACAUUGUGAAGAGCAUGGAGGAUAUUGACAUGUUGUUGACCAGUGGCUGCCCUGAAGGAAGCUGUAAGAAAGCAGAACAUGUGCUAAAAACAAUUAAAGGUUGGGCUGAUGUCGAAGUUCCCAACAAGAACGAACUGAUUGGAAACCUCUACAGCUGCAUUGGGAAUGCUCAGAUAGAUAUGGGACAAAUGGGGGCAGCACUUCAGAGCCAUAAGAUGGAUUUGGAGAUUGCAAAGGAAAAUGAUCUGCCAGAUGCCAUAUCCAGAGCCCUUGACAAUAUUGGCAGAGUUUAUGCCAGAAUCGGCAAAUUCCAGGAGGCCAUUGACACAUGGGAGGAGAAGAUCCCAAUGGCAAAAACCAGCCUGGAAAAGACAUGGUUAUUCCAUGAAAUUGGCCGGUGUUACCUGGAGCUAAAUCAAGCAACAGAAGGCCUGGAGUAUGGUGAAAAAUCCUUGCAGUCAGCAGAGGAGGAAGGCGAUGUUGAAUGGCAGCUCAAUGCUAGCGUGCUGGUUGCACAAGCACAAGUGAAACUUGAAGAUUACCAGUCUGCGGUUAUGAACUUUGAAAAAGCUCUUGAGAAGGCAAAGCUCGUUCAUAAUGAUGCAGCUCAGCAGGCCAUCAUCAUUGCUCUAGAUGAUGCAAACAAAGACUUCAUUGAAGAACUGAAAGUAGAAAAGGAGAGAAGAGAUUCUUUCAAAGCAUUCUCACCUGCUUUCUCAGCCCCCAGAUGGCCACCUGGAAUUCAUCUCUUUUUUUGGCAUGACCAGUGAAUUUCAGAGGGCUGCAACUUGCCAGCUCCCAGUUUCUCAUUAAUAUCUAUCAUGCAGCUUAACUUUUCGCACCAGCAAUGAAUUUCACCUCUUGAGACAAAAAAAAUUUUGGCUAUGUAAGUGAAUAUUUCUUUGAGAAGAUAAAGAGCAGACAUAAUAUGGAGCAAGAAAAUGACAAACAAGAGGAAAGAGAACAAGAGAAUGAGAGAAAUGAAAAAGAGAAAGAG
RNA transcript from Alligator sinensis (Chinese alligator), 1888 nucleotides. It is a transcript of the gene named tetratricopeptide repeat domain 25, with no coding region annotated. The record is from RefSeq and is a predicted model, not a curated record. Lineage: Eukaryota; Metazoa; Chordata; Crocodylia; Alligatoridae. The transcript has 13 exons.